AUUAACUCAUCUAACUCCUAGGCCCCACAGGAAUCUGCUGGAGGCAGAGAAAUACUUUGGCCCAGAUUCCCACAUGGUUUCUAGUCCCUAUUUCUAGCUGUGCUGUAAAGCUUACAUAACCUAAUUUGCAUUAUGGUGCUAUUUUUAAAAAUCUCCGAAGAUCACUGCUUCAAGCAUCAAUGGAAGCCGUUAGCUCCUACCUAAAAUGAUAAUGUGGGAAAGGAUGUCUAUUCUUACAACUAACUCAACCUGAAUUCUUGACUUAAGACAGUCUUUCUGGAAAAUGCUGUUAGGAAAGGAAGGGAUUCAUUCUUACAUAAGAAGUACUAGCUGUGUGCUCUGUAAAUAACUGCUAGAGAGAAACACAUCAAUAUCAAAACUCACCUCAGCGGCAGACAGUUUCCUGGCUCUGCGGUUCUUAUUCAUUUACCACCCAUCUCCCUUCCAGGUCUCCUGGUAACACUGAGAAGUCUACGUCACUGGAUGGCACGGUAUCAGAUCGUUACAGCGUAUGAGUAUGAAUACAAUAGGACCUUUCUUGUUCUGGAUGACGUCACAGAGACCCUCAUCCCUGGGCCACCACCACCAAGGAGUCACUGGCUUGCACUGAAUGGAGUUAUAGGAAGACCAUUCACAGAGCAGGAUAUUUACAAUAGGCCCAAUUCCAACAACAAGGAGACUCUCAGACUUAAAAUGAUUCCGCUGGGCAGAGCCUCGUUUCACUAGCACCCAGAGAAGGACCUGGCGCAUCACUGGCACUCGGCUGUUUGAUCAGCACUGAAAUGUACUUGGUGUGAGUCAGCUAGACCUCAUCCAACCUUUUAUAGAUGCCAAAGCCACAUUCAACAUACAUACAGAUUC
This 861-nucleotide long non-coding RNA is filed under the name Equus asinus (donkey). Its description in RNAcentral is "lncRNA (ENSEASG00005032647.1)". Lineage: Eukaryota; Metazoa; Chordata; Mammalia; Perissodactyla; Equidae. The record is from RNAcentral.